Carassius gibelio (silver crucian carp) is the source of this 540-nucleotide long non-coding RNA. RefSeq lists it as uncharacterized. The transcript has 3 exons. Lineage: Eukaryota; Metazoa; Chordata; Actinopteri; Cypriniformes; Cyprinidae. The record is from RefSeq and is a predicted model, not a curated record.
AGAAGUGCAGAGACCAUGAUGGGUUGUUGAUUCUUUUUGGUCGUUCGUUCUCCCGGCUAUUCUUCCUGGUUGGCUUGCCCCCGUGUGUGGUUCUUCUCUUUGGAUGUGUUCCCCUAGGAGAGGUGAAUUCCUGGGACGUUUGGGCUGGCGUGUGGAGGUAUUUGAGGACUAUUGUGGGGUUUCGGCUAUCUGGCUGUGUAACAGAUAUAUCAGCGAUCGAGUGGAGAUAUUCAGGACAGAAAGAGUGUGAGUUCUGGAAAGCAAGUGAAGACCAGGCCGCGCCAUCGCUAUCGGAGGGAAGUUAAGAGACCUGAUCUGGGACUUCGAUCAAUUGUAUACAUCUGGACUGGGAGUGAUAACGUUGUGAAGUGGACGGAGCUAUCGUUGGAUCGCAGGAUCCUCUGGGCCGAACGCCGCAUGUGAUGUCCCUAUGAAAGGAGAUCGCAGGAUCCUCUGGGCCGAACGCCGCAUGUGAUGUCCCUAUGAAAAGAGGUGGACACAAGAAUUAUUCCUUUCCCGGUCACAACCGAAGCAUCUCCC